AUUGAACGCUGGCGGUAUGCCUAACACAUGCAAGUCGAACGGCAGCACGGUAAGAGCUUUCUCUUCCGGGUGGCGAGUGGCGGACGAUUGAUGGACACAUCGGCGUCUGCGUUUUCUUGGGUAGUAACGGAGGGGCACAUACCCUAUUACCGCAGACGACCAAAGGGUGAAAGCAGCGGAUCUUCCGACCUUGCACCAUUCAAUGAGCGGUUGUCGGAUUAGCUAGUUGGUGGGGUAAAGGCCCACCAAGGCGACGAUCCGUAGCUGGUCUGAGAGGAUGAUCAGCCACACUGGAACUGAGACACGGUCCAGACUCCUACGGGAGGCAGCAGUGGGGAAUAUUGGACAAUGGGCGCAAGCCUGAUCCAGCCAUACCGCGUGGGUGAAGAAGGCCUUCGGGUUGUAAAGCCCUUUUGUUGGGAACGAAAAGGCGCAGGUUAAUACCUCGCUGUUAUGACGGUACCGAAAGAAUAAGCACCGGCUAACUUCGUG
This 492-nucleotide ribosomal RNA is filed under the name uncultured bacterium. Its description in RNAcentral is "partial 16S ribosomal RNA". It matches the Rfam family "Bacterial small subunit ribosomal RNA", at positions 30 to 507 of the family's 1533-position model. The record is from RNAcentral.